GACGAACGCUGGCGGCGUGCUUAACACAUGCAAGUCGAACGGAAAGGCCCUGCUUUUGUGGGGUGCUCGAGUGGCGAACGGGUGAGUAACACGUGAGUAACCUGCCCUGUACUUUGUGAUAACUUCAGGAAACUGGUGCUAAUACCGGAUAGGAGCUCCUGCUGCAUGGUGGGGGUUGGAAAGUUUCGGCGGUUGGGGAUGGACUCGCGGCUUAUGAGCUUGUUGGUGGGGUAGUGGCUUACCAGGGCUUCGACGGGUAGCCGGCAUGAGAGGGUGACCGGCCACAUUGGGACUGAGAUACGGAGCAGAGUCCUACGGGAGGCAGCAGUGGGAAAUAUGGCACAGUGGGGGGAAGCCUGAUGCAGCAACGCCGCGUGCGGGAUGACGGCCUUCGGGUUGUAAACCGCUUUCGCCUGUGACGAAGCGUGAGUGACGGUAAUGGGUAAAGAAGCACCGGCUAACUACGUG
This 468-nucleotide ribosomal RNA is filed under the name uncultured bacterium. Its description in RNAcentral is "partial 16S ribosomal RNA". It matches the Rfam family "Bacterial small subunit ribosomal RNA", at positions 28 to 507 of the family's 1533-position model. The record is from RNAcentral.